UGGCCAACGGGUGAGUAACACGUGGGGAAUCUGCCUAUAAGUGGGGGAUAACAUUCGGAAACGGAUGCUAAUACCGCAUAUAUUCAAAAACCGCAUGGUUUCUGAAAGAAAGACGGCUUUGCUGUCGCUUAUAGAUGAUCCCGCGGCGUAUUAGUUAGUUGGUGGGGUAAUGGCCUACCAAGACCAUGAUACGUAGCCGACCUGAGAGGGUGAUCGGCCACACUGGGACUGAGACACGGCCCAGACUCCUACGGGAGGCAGCAGUAGGGAAUCUUCCACAAUGGGUGCAAACCUGAUGGAGCAAUGCCGCGUGAAUGAAGAAGGUCUUCGGAUCGUAAAGUUCUGUUAUUAGAGAAGAACAAGUCAAGGAGUAACUGUCUUGACUUUGACGGUACCUAACCAGAAAGUCACGGCUAACUACGUGCCAGCAGCCGCGGUAAUACGUAGGUGACAAGCGUUGUCCGGAAUUAUUGGGCGUA
Molecule: ribosomal RNA, 479 nt
Filed under: uncultured bacterium
Lineage: Bacteria
Description: bacterial SSU rRNA
Rfam family: Bacterial small subunit ribosomal RNA
Source: RNAcentral